Molecule: ribosomal RNA, 162 nt
Filed under: uncultured bacterium
Lineage: Bacteria
Description: partial 16S ribosomal RNA
Rfam family: Bacterial small subunit ribosomal RNA
Source: RNAcentral
UGGGUAAUAUUGGGCAAUGGGCCCAAGCGUGAAUCCAGCCAUGCCGCGUGGGUGAGAAGGCCUUCGGGUUGUAAAGCCCUUUUGUUGGGAAAGAAAUCGUGUCUGUUAAUACCUGGCGGGGCAUGACAGCUACCCAGACAAUAACCACCGGCUUACUUCGUG